AUGAACGCUAGCUACAGGCUUAACACAUGCAAGUCGAGGGGCAGCAUGUCGGUUGCUUGCAACCGAUGAUGGCGACCGGCGCACGGGUGAGUAACGCGUAUCCAACCUGCCCAUCACUUGGGGAUAACCUUGCGAAAGUAAGACUAAUACCCAAUGAUAUCUCUAGAAGACAUCUGAAGGAGAUUAAAGAUUCAUCGGUGAUGGAUGGGGAUGCGUCUGAUUAGCUUGUUGGCGGGUAACGGCCCACCAAGGCAACGAUCAGUAGGGGUUCUGAGAGGAAGGUCCCCCACAUUGGAACUGAGACACGGUCCAAACUCCUACGGGAGGCAGCAGUGAGGAAUAUUGGUCAAUGGACGAGAGUCUGAACCAGCCAAGUAGCGUGCAGGAUGACGGCCCUAUGGGUUGUAAACUGCUUUUAUAAGGGAAUAAAGUGAGAGUCGUGACUCUUUUUGCAUGUACCUUAUGAAUAAGGACCGGCUAAUUCCGUG
RNAcentral lists this ribosomal RNA (488 nucleotides) under uncultured bacterium. Its description in RNAcentral is "bacterial SSU rRNA". It matches the Rfam family "Bacterial small subunit ribosomal RNA", at positions 29 to 507 of the family's 1533-position model. The record is from RNAcentral.